Molecule: ribosomal RNA, 468 nt
Filed under: uncultured bacterium
Lineage: Bacteria
Description: partial 16S ribosomal RNA
Rfam family: Bacterial small subunit ribosomal RNA
Source: RNAcentral
GACGAACGCUGGCGGCGUGCUUAACACAUGCAAGUCGAACGGAAAGGCCCUGCUUUUGUGGGGUGCUCGAGUGGCGAACGGGUGAGUAACACGUGAGUAACCUGCCCUUGACUUUGGGAUAACUUCAGGAAACUGGGGCUAAUACCGGAUAGGAGCUCCUGCUGCAUGGUGGGGGUUGGAAAGUUUCGGCGGUUGGGGAUGGACUCGCGGCUUAUCAGCUUGUUGGUGGGGUAGUGGCUUACCAAGGCUUUGACGGGUAGCCGGCCUGAGAGAGUGACCGGCCACAUUGGGACUGAGAUACGGCCCAGACUCCUACGGGAGGCAGCAGUGGGGAAUCUUGCACAAUGGGCGGAAGCCUGAUGCAGCAACGCCGCGUGCGGGAUGACGGCCUUCGGGUUGUAAACCGCUUUCGCCUGUGACGAAGCGUGAGUGACGGUAAUGGGUAAAGAAGCACCGGCUAACUACGUG